UACAGAGGGUGCGAGCGUUGUCCGGAAUCACUGGGCGUAAAGGGCGCGUAGGUGGCGCGACAAGUCAGUGGUGAAAGUUCGACGCUCAACGUCGAAUCGGCCACUGAUACUGUUGGGCUUGAGCACUGUAGAGGCUAAUGGAAUUCCGGGUGUAGCGGUGGAAUGCGUAGAGAUCCGGAAGAACACCGGUGGCGAAGGCGGCUCACUGGCUCAUUACUGACGCUCAGGCGCGAUAGCGUGGGGAUCAAACAGG
RNAcentral lists this ribosomal RNA (253 nucleotides) under uncultured bacterium. RNAcentral describes it as "partial 16S ribosomal RNA". It matches the Rfam family "Bacterial small subunit ribosomal RNA", at positions 524 to 776 of the family's 1533-position model. The record is from RNAcentral.